This 71-nucleotide transfer RNA is filed under the name Marmota monax (woodchuck). RNAcentral's name for it is "tRNA.Val". It matches the Rfam family "tRNA". From Rfam's summary of the family: Transfer RNA (tRNA) molecules are approximately 80 nucleotides in length. Lineage: Eukaryota; Metazoa; Chordata; Mammalia; Rodentia; Sciuridae. The record is from RNAcentral.
GGGGUUGUGGCUCAGUGUUAGAGUGCUUGCUUCACAUGCAUGGAACACUGGGUUCGAUCCUCAGCACCACA